GAAAUGCGAUAAGUAGUGUGAAUUGCAGAAUUCAGUGAAUCAUCGAAUCUUUGAACGCACAUUGCGCCCCAUGGAAUACCAAGGGGCAUGCCUGUUCGAGCGUCAUUUGUACCCUCAAGCUUUGCUUGGUGUUGGGCGUCUUGUCUCCCUCUCGGGAGACUCGCCUCAAAACAAUUGGCAGCCAGUGUUUGGUUUUGAAGCGCAGCACAAGUCGCGAUUCAACUCGAGUUCGCGUUUCUGCUGCGCUCGAAGCCGACGUGAGGGCCGCCAAUGGAUUUGAGGUGAGUCCACGCGCGGGGGCGGGACAGGCACCCAACACCAAGCAGUGCUUG
This 332-nucleotide unclassified non-coding RNA is filed under the name uncultured Ascomycota. RNAcentral's name for it is "sequence contains ITS1". The stretch from base 1 to 105 matches the Rfam family "5.8S ribosomal RNA", at positions 50 to 154 of the family's 154-position model. The record is from RNAcentral. Lineage: Eukaryota; Fungi; Ascomycota.